UUAUAUCGAAUAUACUCGAAGGUUUAGAACCACGACAUAUUAUAACAUUUACGCCUGAAGACGUUCCCAAAUCUGCAGCGAUCAAUUUCGUCUUCAUUCCCCCUGUUCCAACUCCACUACCGGGUGUGGAAACGUUUGCAUUUACCAUUGAUGUAUCAUGAAUUUUUAAAAUAGGCUUAGCGUCAGGGUUGGUACGUGGGUUGUCUGUAUACAAACAAUCAACAUCUGUAAGUAAAAACAAAUAAUCUGCGUUUAUCAUGCCAGCUGUAAUUGCCGAUAAAGUAUCGUUAUCACCAAAACGGAUUUCUUGAACAGACAGAGUAUCAUUUUCAUUUACAAUGGGAACUACCCCAAAAUGUAGCAACUCGGAAAUUGUGUUCGCUGCAUUUACAUAUUGGGAUCUCUAAAUAUUAAUAGUUAGUACCCGUCAGUAAUUAAAAUAAUUUUUUAAGUGUCAACAAUAAUUAUCUGAAUCUUACCUCGGCAAUGUCGUUUCUAGUGAUUAAAACUUGCGCAAUAGGCUGACGAAGUUGUGUAAAUAAGGUAUCCCAUAAGGAAAUUAGUCUUCCUUGACCGACCGCGGCAAUUGCUUGUACAGCAGAAAGCUUUGAAGGACGCUUAGGUAAAUCUAAUCUACGAAGGCCCAUUGCAAUACCACCACUUGAAACCAAAACGACAUUAUGACCCAACUUUCGAAGCUUGACAACGGUUUCAACGAUUAGUGACAAA
This is a non-coding RNA of Schizosaccharomyces pombe (fission yeast), 729 nucleotides long. Lineage: Eukaryota; Fungi; Ascomycota; Schizosaccharomycetes; Schizosaccharomycetales; Schizosaccharomycetaceae. The record is from the annotation of a GenBank genome assembly.